UGAGGAAUAUUGGGCAAUGCCCGCAAGGGUGACCCAGCAACGCCGCGUGGAGGAUGAAUGUCGUAAGAUUGUAAACUCCUGUUAGAGGGGAAGAAUAGUACCGGUUGGACCGGUAUAUGACUGUACCCUCAGAGAAAGCCCCGGCUAACUACGUGCCAGCAGCCGCGGUAAUACGUAGGGGGCGAGCGUUGUCCGGAUUUACUGGGUGUAAAGGGCGCGCAGGCGGGAUAAAAAGUCAGUGGUGAAAUCCUACAGCUUAACUGUAGAACUGCCUUUGAUACUUUGAUUCUUGAGUUCGGGAGAGAGAGACGGAAUUCCAGGUGUAGUGGUGAAAUACGUAGAUAUCUGGAAGAACACCAGUUGCGAAGGCGGUCUCUUGGUCCGACACUGACGCUGAGGCGCGAAAGCGUGGGGAGCAAACA
Molecule: ribosomal RNA, 422 nt
Filed under: uncultured bacterium
Lineage: Bacteria
Description: bacterial SSU rRNA
Rfam family: Bacterial small subunit ribosomal RNA
Source: RNAcentral